CCGAAAGAGCACGCUUAGACAGAAGGAGACUCCAUUGCCAGUGUGCCACCUGCUAGCUAGUCCGUAGCAUUGGAGCUCUAGCCCGAUUUUCGUCUGUGUGAAGAGGGGUGAGUCACUCCGGGCCCUGACAGCGGCAGGAUGCAUGAGUGUCGUAAUUUGCAUUUGUGAGUUCGGAUGGUGCCUUCGGUGUACGGUGGUCUUUUGAGGGAGACUGACUGAGGGAGGGAGGUGAACUCUGAGAACUUGGGCUGGAGUUCUGGGUGGCUUCUGCUUGGAGCUAGAAUGUCAGACCCCCCCUCCCCCCUUUUUGGACGGCAGUAGGACUGACAGAUAGAAGUGAGGAAUAAGGAGAAGAUGGUGUGGCGAUUUGUUGAGAUUUUCUAAAAUGGCCCUUUUACUCAUUGAGUUUGACACCCCUGGUCUAGCCUAAUGAGACUGCAGGAGGCUGAUGGACAGAGGGACUUAAGGACCUAACCAGGGGAUAUUUGAGUAGAGCACCAUGCAGGAAAGCUCCUAACCACUGAAGGCAUUCAUAAUUAGCAG
This is a long non-coding RNA of Colossoma macropomum (tambaqui), 543 nucleotides long. RefSeq lists it as uncharacterized. NCBI's taxonomy places the organism in Eukaryota, Metazoa, Chordata, Actinopteri, Characiformes, Serrasalmidae. The transcript is spliced from 4 exons. The record is from RefSeq and is a predicted model, not a curated record.